AUUAAGUAUGAUGUGAUUUAAUACCGCCCCAGUCUGAAUUUCUCUGACUGAUUGGUUUUACUGACUUAAA
Molecule: small nucleolar RNA, 70 nt
Organism: Oryctes borbonicus
Lineage: Eukaryota; Metazoa; Arthropoda; Insecta; Coleoptera; Scarabaeidae
Source: Rfam